Molecule: long non-coding RNA, 896 nt
Organism: Spinacia oleracea (spinach)
Lineage: Eukaryota; Viridiplantae; Streptophyta; Magnoliopsida; Caryophyllales; Amaranthaceae
Exons: 2
Source: RefSeq, a predicted model, not a curated record
CCUCGAGGUUUGCAAAAAUGCACCAAAUACCCUCGCGUGUUUCGAUUCACAUAAUAUACCCCUAUUUUUUCGUACUGUUCAUGAGAUGCACUUGGAGCUAACGGACGUUAGUCUACCGUUAGUUGCAAUUUACCAUUUUGCCCUUAAUGAUGUUUUUCGACAUAAAUUCCAAAAAAAUCUCAAACUUCUUAUCUUUCUCUCUCCUCUCCCCUGUUCUUCCUCUUUCUCUCUCCUCUCCCCUGUUCUCUCCUCUCCCCUGUUCUUCCUCUUGCUCUCUGGUCGGCGGUGGUCGAUCUCCUUCGCGCGCCACCGCAAUGUUCUUCGGUGUAGAUUGAGAUCCUUCACGCGCCAUCAAAUUUAAAUGGAUUGUUCUUGAAUUCACUCCUCCCUCAAUUCUUAAUUGUGCUCUCUACCAUUGUUGACCAAGGUUGGAAGCUUUAACCGUGAUGACAAUGCCGCACCUGCUGCAAGAAUGGGUUUAGAUCAGAGAAGAAAGGUCGGGAAUGGAGAAAAACAAGACUGCAGAAGAGAAAUUAAAGGGAAAUCGUAUUGAUAACCAACCAAUGAAACCAGCUUGCAUUCGAGAGGCUAGACUAUCCCAACCACAAAGCUGCUAAAACAUGAUUUCUGAAUGGAUCACUUCUCUUUUAUCUCCUCUUGUAAUUACAUUUCUCAGUGGCAUACAAGCUGACUUUCCAAUCCCCAUAGUGAUGCUACAUUGCUAGCAGCAGCAAUGUCUCCUCUUUUUCUUUUGUUUCUUUUCCUUGCAUUCACGCCAAGUGCAUCCAGGCUUCCAGGUAGGGCAAUACGCAGAGUGAAUAAAGAUUUUCAAAGGCUCCUAACAGGGGAUGUAAUAAAGCACUCUUAAACGCUAUAUAAAUCUUGUUAUUCCACAA